This 428-nucleotide ribosomal RNA is filed under the name Verrucomicrobiota bacterium. Its description in RNAcentral is "Verrucomicrobia bacterium partial 16S ribosomal RNA". It matches the Rfam family "Bacterial small subunit ribosomal RNA", at positions 355 to 776 of the family's 1533-position model. The record is from RNAcentral. Lineage: Bacteria; Pseudomonadati; Verrucomicrobiota.
UAGGGAAUCUUCCGCAAUGGACGAAAGUCUGACGGAGCAACGCCGCGUGAGUGAAGAAGGAUUUCGGUUCGUAAAACUCUGUUGUUAGGGAAGAAAAAAUGUAUAGUAACUAUAUACAAAAGAGACGGUACCUAACCAGAAAGCCACGGCUAACUACGUGCCAGCAGCCGCGGUAAUACGUAGGUGGCAAGCGUUGUCCGGAAUUAUUGGGCGUAAAGCGCGCGCAGGUGGUUUAGAAAGUCUGAUGUGAAAGCCCACGGCUCAACCGUGGAGGGUCAUUGGAAACUAAUAAAAUUGAGGACAGGAGAGAAAAGUGGAAUUCCUAGUGUAGCGGUGAAAAGCGUAGAGAUUAGGAGGAACACCGGUGGCGAAAGCGGCUUUCUGGCCUGCAACUGACACUGAGGCGGAAAGCGUGGGGAGCAAACAGG